UUGAAUAACUGGAGGGUUGUCGCUGGCUUCUAGGAGCAUGUGCACGCCCUUCAAAUUCAUCUUAACCACCUUAACCACCUGUGCACCUUUGUGGACUAUGGCAACUCUCAGUUUUCGGACUGGAUAGAGGAACAUGCGCUUUAGCUGUUCUUCAAUGUCGUAGGCUACGUUUAUCUAUACACUAUAUAAAGUCCAGAAUGUCUGUUAUUAGGUCUUGUACCUAUAAACUUUAUA
This 234-nucleotide unclassified non-coding RNA is filed under the name uncultured Tricholomataceae. Its description in RNAcentral is "sequence contains ITS1". The record is from RNAcentral. Lineage: Eukaryota; Fungi; Basidiomycota; Agaricomycetes; Agaricales; Tricholomataceae.